Long non-coding RNA from Caretta caretta (loggerhead turtle), 2243 nucleotides. RefSeq lists it as uncharacterized. The record is from RefSeq and is a predicted model, not a curated record. Lineage: Eukaryota; Metazoa; Chordata; Testudines; Cheloniidae.
GAAAUGGAGUGUGGGUGGGGACUGGAUGCACCCAGCCUGUCCUCCCCCCACCCCACAAAAUUCACCUCAGCCCAUAACACUCCCUCCCUCCUCCUCCCCACCACAAAAUCAAACUCCUCGGCCUCCCUCCAUGGCCAAAUCCCUCCCUCCUCUAGGACCCCAUCCGGCCUCACUACCUCCCCCUCCCCCCAGCCCAUCAAGCCUCCUCCCCAGUCCCCAAACCCACCUCUCCCACUUCACAUUCCCACAGAGUCCAGCCCCCGUCCUGCUCUCACCCCAAAAUGCUUCUGCCCUUCCCCCCCACCACAACGCCCCUCCCCAGCCCCAAACCCAGCUCCUCCCCCACAUCCGUUCCCACCCCACCCCACCCCACAGGCUGGACUCAGCUGCCCCAGGUCCGGCCUUGGCUCCUGGCCACGCUACAACUGGACCAGCCACAAUGGAGCUCAAGCUCUUACCUGCAUCUUCCUUCGGAGCAGGUUCAGCUGACCCAGAUGAGACCCACUGACCUAAACCCCAGCCCGUGUCUUAGUCCAGGCACGGGGCCGGUGUCCUCCUCAGCGCCAGGCCCAGCUCGCUCAGGGCUGUCUGGCCUCCGUGCUCCACUGAGCGAGAGGGACAUAAAAAUCUGGUAAGCAGCUUUGACACCCUUGUCUGGCACUCAGGUCCCAGCUGCGAACGCCGAAGUGCGCCAGACGCCACAGCCAAGACACCGCCCGCCCGUCAGCUGAGGGGGCAAAAGGCUUCCACCAACACUCAUUAAUGAAGCUUCACGCCCCUUGGCAGGAGUGGUAGCAUCCAGACCGGGAAACUGAGGCACAAAGAGGCAAAAUGACUCAACCGAGAUCACACAGUCACUCUGGGAAUUUUACAAGUGCCAGACAAAGGCAGAACCCCUUCCAUGCCAAACAGCAACUAACCCGGGGAGGGAAGCGGCUUGUGAGCCCCAAGUACUGCCAUAAAGACGACUGUGUUCCAGAAAUAACUUCACCAAAAUGCUUCUGAAGUGACAGACUCAGGGUCCCACUUGCCCCCAUCCGGCCAGGAGUGUGACACUCGCACAGGGGAAGGAAGUCUGCCUCGAUACAGUUUGCAAUGUGCAGAUGGAGGCAGGUGGCGUCCAGAUUGCGGGGCAGACACUGGCCUAGCUGACCACAUCCCCAGCUUAACACUGCCCGUUCUUGUAGCAUCGCUGGGUCCUUCGUUCAGGUCAGACCUCAGCAGCUGAAAAGGAGCUUUACAUCUUUUACCACAAGCAUCUCAUUCAAACAGGAAAACAGUAAAAGGCAAACUUUGAGCUCUCUUUGAAUUCUUCCUGGUGGUCUGUAGCAAAGCAGUCACACUGAAGGCAACUAUUCUCCAUUCUUCACUAGGGACCCAAUCCUGGGAAGUGCUGAGGGCCCUUAAUGGCACUCAGGAACCUUGCAGGAACAAGCCCUAUAAUUCCAUAAGCCAGGCUAUUAUUAUCAUGUAACAUUUACACUGCAUUGGUGCCUAGAGGCCAGCCAGGCCUGGGGCCAGUUGUGCUGGGGCCUCCAACAGACAGAGCUAGAGUCUGCCUAUGUGCAAACCACACCUGCCCAUGUGCUGAAAUCAGAGCACCUGGAAGAAGCUAACGUUAGCAUGGUAUCAAAGCAUCACGCCAACUAUUAGAGACAUCGUCUACACCCAGUGGUCUCCGGUGCACAUUUGUGUAUGCUACAUGCACAGAAGGGAAGAAGGGAGGUUGGGUCUAAGGGACUAUGAAGAACAGAGGAGAUAUGUGGAUUUUUUUCAUGAAUUGGCUAUCUGAUUACAAUCAUGCCAUCUGCCACAUGGAUGCAAAUUGUUAACUCAGUCCUAGGUGGCUCUGUUCUGCAGGAACUGAAGUCAGCGGCUAUAGACAGCCCCAAACCCCAAUGCAUAACAAACAGUACAGGGGUCAAGACCUGUGAAGUUUGGUCUCUGUCCAAAUUGGACACAACACACUGUUGGCUUGUGGCAAGAAGAAGUCGGGCAGUAGGUGGAUGCAGAACAAAGGGCCUGGCUGGUUUUAAAGAGACACUCCCUGAAGUUCACAGAGAAGCAGGGUCUGCAGAGAAAGAGACUGUUAGAGGGUCCCCAGAAGAGCACGUCCCAGGUCUAAGUCGGGCCAACCUAAUUCUGGAGGGAAAUUCUAAACUUCGAUAAGACAGUGUGUGUGUUGGGAGGGGGAGGGUAAGACCUUUUGUUAUUUGAGCCCCUUUGCUUUCUGUUUGCUAUGU